AACGAACGCUGGCGGCAUGCCUAACACAUGCAAGUCGAACGAGACCUUCGGGUCUAGUGGCGCACGGGUGCGUAACGCGUGGGAACCUGCCCUUAGGUUCGGAAUAACUCCCCGAAAGGGGUGCUAAUACCGGAUAAUGUCUUCGGACCAAAGAUUUAUCGCCUUUGGAUGGGCCCGCGUUGGAUUAGCUAGUUGGUAGGGUAAAAGCGUACCAAGGCGACGAUCCAUAGCUGGUCUGAGAGGAUGAUCAGCCACACUGGGACUGAGACACGGCCCAGACUCCUACGCGAGGCAGCAGUGGGGAAUAUUGGACAAUGGGCUAAAGCCUGAUCCAGCAAUGCCGCGUGAGUGAUGAAGGCCUUAGGGUUGUAAAGCUCUUUUACCCGGGAUGAUAAUGACAGUACCGGGAGAAUAAGCUCCGGCUAACUCCGUG
RNAcentral lists this ribosomal RNA (433 nucleotides) under uncultured bacterium. RNAcentral describes it as "partial 16S ribosomal RNA". It matches the Rfam family "Bacterial small subunit ribosomal RNA", at positions 29 to 507 of the family's 1533-position model. The record is from RNAcentral.